CGGGACGGAUCUCGGGGUGAGACGAGGGGUGAGGCCCCCAGCGCCAGGCAGGGGCCCCCAAGCGCGCCCACGCACUGCUGUCUCCGACUGUAACAGAACAUGAGCAUGCCUUGGUUUGUGCAACUUGCAUCCUUCUCUGAAGAAGCCUGGGGCUUGUCUGCCCUCCACCAUAGUGAGUGAAACCAGAAUGUCCUGGCUUCGGAGGCCUGGUGGAAGUGACUAAGCCGGGGUUUGCAGCCAAUGGUCAUGUCCGGUCAUCCUCAUCCCAGAAACCGGCACAGCACGUGAGGGACAAGGGACCCAGAAGGAGCGUGACCAAGCAGGAAACCUCAACGCCCUUUUAUGAGCCUGCCUUAGAAGGGACACACCAUGACAUGUACACAGAGCACUUCUGACGCUGCACAGGAGGAGACUACACACGUGUCAGCGUGAGGAGGCGGAGAUCACGGGGGGCAUCGCGGAGCCGGGCUGUCUCAGCGCUUCACACACACCACCCCGCUCCAGCCUCGUGAGACGAGCAGAGAAAAAUAAAGGACAGGAGACAGGACGCUGGCAGGGGCUGGACAGGGUCUCAUGAUAAGAGCGGCCAGAGUGGAACACGCCCCUGGAGAUCCUGAAGGUCCUGAAUCCUGAAGAUCCAGGUUGGGUCAUGGCUCGGACACUACUCACGUGAAGCAGCUGUGCACCUCUCCAAUCUCCACGUUCUCUACCGGUGGGGCAAAAAGGGGAUCUGCCUACCUCCUAAGGAUUGUGGGGAGGAUGCAGUAUGAUAAGGAGCAGGGAUGCACUUUGCCAACUAAAGUGCAAUGGAAACAGAGAGCAAGACGGCUGGUAUUCAUGAGGGCUCGGAGCCAGCCUGCUGACAAAGCCACGGGCUGUGCCAGCUCUCUGACUGGUCCCCAGGUCCCCAGGGUGCAUGUGACCCAGCUGUAACACUGUACUGAGGUCCCACACAGGCCUCCCGCUUGGUGGACUGACCACACUGGCUGCUUCAAAUGCCCUAAAAACAGGCACAGGAAUGCAAUGAUCUCACCUGUGUUUACCUGGGCCCAGUUUCCUAAUGUAUAGAUAGGCUUUGAUGUCUCUGAUGAGUUUGUUUGUAUUGCAACUUCUUUGAGGACCCAGGGUCAAAAGGCAUCACCUUCCUUUCUAACAGGGAGAUGGUAGCACAUCUCCUGGAGCCUCGGGUCAAGGCCUCCUGCCCCCGUCCAUGUUUGGGUCUGGCCCACGAGAGAGCCAGCAACCCGAAGUAGGGUCCCAGGGACGCAGACACACUCCCAGGAGUGGGCAAACCCUGUGAGGCUGGGAGAGCAAGGGUGGAGGAAGAGACGCCUCCGUGGUCCUCCGAGUACAAGCGGAUAGGCAGGGGUUGGGGGACACAGGACAGGUCAGGGAGUGAAAACUUGGAAGGAUAGAGGGAGAAGCUCUGGGAACAGUGGCCCCAAAAUGAUCUAUUAGCAUCUUAGGUGUUUGAGAGUAACUGCCCCGCCCAGAGCCCCUGCCUUUGGGGCCUCCAGGAGGUACCAUGCUGAAAGCAGCCAGGGUUUCCUAGGUGAAGUACGUUGCCCCACUGUGUUGGGAGAUGGGGAGAUUGUGCAACAGCUGACUUCAAUUACUAAGUCCUCUCUGCUGAAGAGAAGCCAUUCCCCCAGCAGACUGGGAAGUGUUUACAUCUACUUGGGCGCACGCGUGCCCGAGGGGGAAGGGCUUUGCUCAGGAAAUGGACUGGUGGCUCCCCCCACUCCUGAGGUGACAGCAGAGGCCCCGCCCUCAGCCAGGGCCCCAGGGCCCCGACCGGCCCUGCAGGGUGCAGCCCCCGCGCCCCCGCAGGCUCCUGACUGGCGGAUGCCCAGAUGUGCCCGAGGCCACUCCUCCCCCGCAGCUCAGGCGGCCCUGGCCGCCUGGGGCCGCAGGUCUGUGUCGCGGUACCGGGGGGAGCAGUGGGGAGAGGCUGCCCUGAGCUCCCAGGCCUUGCCUGCGGCCACCAGUCCAUGGAGUAGGGAAAGGGCUGGCGUAAACUGCAGCCGAAGGCCAGCGGUCCCUGCACGUCCGCCCAACCCACUUCUGGAAUGGGUCCUCCGAGCAUGACAGUCUGCUAGUAGCUGAGAACUCAGGAGCCUCCUCAGCACAAAGACUCCUGGGCGCCAAGUGCGCGGGUCUCCCCGGGGAGCCCGCUGGUCCUGCCCACCCGGGUCGGGCUUCUCCCUUCAGCCUCGUCUCCCUGGAAAC
Long non-coding RNA from Hippopotamus amphibius kiboko, 2229 nucleotides. RefSeq lists it as uncharacterized. The record is from RefSeq and is a predicted model, not a curated record. The transcript is spliced from 3 exons. Lineage: Eukaryota; Metazoa; Chordata; Mammalia; Artiodactyla; Hippopotamidae.